CUGCUGCCUCCCGUAGGAGUUUGGGCCGUGUCUCAGUCCCAAUGUGGCCGUCCACCCUCUCAGGCCGGCUACUGAUCGUCGCUUUGGUAGGCCGUUACCCUGCCAACUGGCUAAUCAGACGCGGGUCCAUCAUAUACCACCGGAGUUUUUCACACUGAGUCAUGCGACUCCGUGCGCUUAUGCGGUUUUAGCAGCAAUUUCUCGCUGUUAUCCCCCUGUAUAUGGCAGGUUACCCACGCGUUACUCACCCGUCCG
This 255-nucleotide ribosomal RNA is filed under the name uncultured bacterium. RNAcentral's name for it is "partial 16S ribosomal RNA". The record is from RNAcentral.